Long non-coding RNA from Vombatus ursinus (common wombat), 2083 nucleotides. NCBI's taxonomy places the organism in Eukaryota, Metazoa, Chordata, Mammalia, Diprotodontia, Vombatidae. The record is from Ensembl.
ACACCCUUUCUUCCCCUGCCCCCCCACCCUCCAAACCCCAGUACCUUUUGCUUCUCUUUUUCCAGGUCCUUGAGUAGGGCCGUCUGGAAAUUAUCCACCAGCACCGCGAUCACUAGGCUACGAGACACUGGAGGAUGCUGUGCUAUUGUUUCUGCACCAAUACUCUCUGAAUUUUUGCACUCUGGACCAACGUCCCCAUUGCCCCACCCUUGUUAUUUAAGGCUACUGCUCCAGAGUUCCCCUCCCAAGACAAGUCUGGAGAGAACGUCCAGCCUUCACAUCUGUGUUGGACCCAAACCCACCUCCCAGUCCCUCCCAGGGUUCAGGCCUGUUCUCUACUACCUUUUGCCCGGCUGUCCAAAUAGAUGAGGGACCAGUCAUCCAGGGUGAGCAAGAUACAGAGGCAGGUGAACAUCAGGACAAGGAUGGCCCCGAUGGAUGGCAGCGACCUGGCCAGAGUCCCCGUCACCUCCUGGAGGCUGUUGAGGAAGCUAAAAGCAGGAGGAGAAGCAGACAAGAUGGUCAGAGGAGCAGACGACCUUCCUAAGGGGAAAGACUGCAGAGGCCUGGCUGGACACCCCCAGGCCUGGGGCAUCAUCAGGAGGCCUGGGCCCUCACCCCUCCUGAACCUCUGUCUGGGACCUUUAGCUCCAAAGAGCCUCAGAACCAGAAAGGGUUUUAGGGCAGAGAACCAGUGCGGGAGCAGGAAGAUCCCUUGGAGCACAGACAGAGAACAGAAGACCCGAGAGGGGCAGGAAACACAGUGGGAAAGCUGGAAGGAGCCUUAGAACAGGACCCGAUGACUUAGAAUCUACAGGAACAUAGAUUCAAGUCGGAAGCGAGGAAGCUUCUAGCCCAGCCCCUUCGUUUUACAGAUGGAGAAACCGAGGAACGUGGAGGUUCGUUCAGGAAUAAGAUCGAGGAUUUGAAUCUGGAAGGCAUGCUUAGGGUCUCUAGUUCGCCUCCCUCACUAAGGCCCAGAGGGGAAGUGAUGUGCCCAAGGUAAGGAGUGGGUGCCAGAGGGGGGAUGUGCAGCCAGGUGUUCUGACUCCAAGCCUCCACUGUCUCCAGCUGCUGCUGGCCCAGCUCUUGGCCUGGAAGGAGCGGAGGGCCCACCUGGCCUCACCUGGCCUCACCUGAGCCUCCGAAGCACCAUUAUGACCCUCAGGGCUCGAAGGCUUUUGAAGAUCUUCAGGAUUCGGAAGACAGUUUUGCUGUGGGCCAUUCUAUUGGCGCUGGAGAAGUAGAACUGUUUGAGCAUGAAGUCCAUCGCAGCCAUGACCAGGAUAAAGAAGUCUGGGGGAGGCGGAGGCCACAGCACUUCCUCAAGAGCCUGCCCGCCAAGCGCCAGCUGCCUCUUCUGUCCUUUGAACCUCACAGCCCCCUGGGAGGGAGCUAUUGCAGGCAUCAUUGUGCCCACUCUACAGAUGAGGAAACUGAGGUUUCGUAGGGAAAUGACUUGCCCAGGGUUGCAUAGCUAGUCAGUGCCAGAGGCAGGAUUUGAGCCCAGGUCUCCCUGCCUCUGGGAUUCAGUGCUCCGACCACUGAGCUGUGGUGUUUCUAUCAUUAAAGCAAGCUCCUGGGCAAGACCCAAGAGCCUCUUUUCCCCAUAUCCAAAAAGAACUCACCCUCUAUUCUCCCCCUUUCCCGACCUGGAAGACCGCUCGCUGGAGAAGAUGGCAGUUCAUCACUACCACCACCCUGUGCUCCAUCCCCUUCUUGUUUAGUGGUACCAUGUUCCUGACCUCAGCCCUCCCUCCCCUGCCCAGCCAACCGGGCCCCAGCGCCACCCACCUAGGCUGUUCCAAGAAUCAAAGUAACCAAGUCCCAUGAUCAGGAUCUUUAGCACGGAUUCCAUGAAGUAGAUGGAGAGGAAGACGGAGUCCAAAGCCGCGAAGUACCAUUCUGCGGGGAGGUCAGAUCCUCGGUUUGACUGCAGGCCCGGCCUCCUCCUGAAGGCCCUCCCCGGCGGACCUGCACACUUCCUCCCUCUGCCCUUACCCCACUACCUCCUUGCUUUUCUCAGGUAGGAUCUGAGUCUUUCCACAAUAAAUAGUCCAUGAGAGCUGCUUUCCUCCCUUGG